This 253-nucleotide ribosomal RNA is filed under the name uncultured bacterium. RNAcentral's name for it is "partial 16S ribosomal RNA". It matches the Rfam family "Bacterial small subunit ribosomal RNA", at positions 524 to 776 of the family's 1533-position model. The record is from RNAcentral.
UACGGGGGGGGCAAGCGUUGUUCGGAAUCACUGGGCUUAAAGGGCGCGUAGGCGGGUUCGCAAGUCUGUGGUGAAAGCCUCCAGCUUAACUGGAGAAGUGCCAUGGAUACUGCGAACCUGGAGGAGGGUAGGGGCAUCUGGAACGCUGGGUGGAGCGGUGAAAUGCGUUGAUAUCCAGCGGAACUCCGGUGGCGAAGGCGAGGUGCUGGACCCUUUCUGACGCUGAGGCGCGAAAGCCAGGGGAGCAAACGGG